AUAGCCAUUAGAGGGGUUGUGAUGUGUCUUAGUGAUAUCAUAUCACAGCCUGCUUUGAUGAGCUAUU
Molecule: non-coding RNA, 67 nt
Organism: Lingula anatina
Lineage: Eukaryota; Metazoa; Brachiopoda; Lingulata; Lingulida; Lingulidae
Source: Rfam